RNAcentral lists this ribosomal RNA (245 nucleotides) under uncultured bacterium. RNAcentral's name for it is "partial 16S ribosomal RNA". It matches the Rfam family "Bacterial small subunit ribosomal RNA", at positions 524 to 768 of the family's 1533-position model. The record is from RNAcentral.
UACGUAGGGGGCAAGCGUUGUCCGGAAUUAUUGGGCGUAAAGAGCGUGUAGGCGGUUUGGUAAGUCUGCUGUGAAAGCCCAGGGCUCAACCCUGGAACGCCGGUGGAUACUGCCAGACUAGAGUCCGGAAGAGGCGAGUGGAAUUCCUGGUGUAGCGGUGAAAUGCGCAGAUAUCAGGAGGAACACCAAUAGCGAAGGCAGCUCGCUGGGACGGUACUGACGCUGAGACGCGAAAGCGUGGGGAG